CCUUCUUCCCUUUAAAUUCCUUUCGCUUCAAUUGCUUGAGUUGCGUUCUUUCUUCGUCUACUUUAAUUUUGAUCUAGUUUAAUUACGUUUAAGUAUUAUUAUUCUUCUCACUUUAUGGCUCCUACGCUGACUUUUGAGAUCAGGGAUUACGUAUUUUUAAAUACCCUAGUUUGCUACAGUUGUCUCUCUCUCCUAAUACACCUUAACCCAGCUACUUGGGACUCCUCUCCACGCCUUCAAUGCCUUAACGGCGGGAUAUACCGGAAAUAUCGCGCGCCGACCAACUGAUAGCUCCUUGGAAUGCAAAGCGGCGGAGGUAACUAGGUAAAUUCUUCAAAACAGAGCAGCGAAGAGAUUAGGCAAAAACGUCUUCUGGACCAGAUUUUUCCGGAGCUUCAAACCCUAACUAUUUUGUGGCAUUUAACAGAUUUGAGAGUACAACUAGACAAUCGGAGACAGCUUUCAUUUUCGAAUUUUUGAGAUUCUUCAAGGUUACUUUCAAACGAAGCUUGGAGGAGUUCAUUCAAAAUCAGUCGAUUGAUGAUAACUAUGGAAUACUUGUCACUAAUGAUGUUAAAAGUCUCAAGUCUCAGAUAAACUCUCUCUUAGCAUCUGGUGCAUUUCUUGUGCCUUUCCUGUGCCUCGUUCUCCAGCAUCUGAUGAUAACUAAGGACUAGUUUAUUUUAUUAGUUUGUCUUGGAUGGUACCUUAAUGUUGAAUAUUGAAUGUAGGUUUUUUUGAGUUUUUGUUCUACUUUCUGUUUAAUUGGAUAUUGUUUAUGAAAUAGAUUGAAUUAGGUGUUGUAUAUGAAUUGGAUUGCAUGUUGAAUUUGGUAUUUGAAUGUUUAAUUGUAUUUAGUCUUGUA
Long non-coding RNA from Nicotiana tabacum (common tobacco), 865 nucleotides. RefSeq lists it as uncharacterized. Lineage: Eukaryota; Viridiplantae; Streptophyta; Magnoliopsida; Solanales; Solanaceae. The record is from RefSeq and is a predicted model, not a curated record.